Long non-coding RNA from Fukomys damarensis (Damara mole-rat), 526 nucleotides. RefSeq lists it as uncharacterized. The record is from RefSeq and is a predicted model, not a curated record. The transcript has 3 exons. Lineage: Eukaryota; Metazoa; Chordata; Mammalia; Rodentia; Bathyergidae.
GGGAGGGGGCGCGCUUGGAGAGGGGAUCCUGGCUGUGCGCGCUGCCGUCUACAGCGCCGUUGCCAGCCGGUGGCGAUGGGUCUGGGGUCGUCUGGGAGACCACGGCGCCGCUGUCCACUCAGAUCCCACCAGAUCUACCUAGAUUCACUGUCUCCAGCCGAAGUCCGAGAACUCGAUCUGGGACCCGGGGAAAGAGCUGCUGCGACUUGCCUUUCUUCCCAAUCCAAGUGAAACUUGCAGUGCAGAGCUGGGAGACUGGGAAAGGGACGCGGAAUGGUACCUGUGGAUGAAUCAGCGCUGCUGGAUAGGCACCCCAUGGGGACAUCUGUGCAAUCUGGACACAGUGACCCAGGGCUGGCCUAGCAGAAGAGAGGGAAGCUUUGCCACACAGCAGAGGUGCUCUCAACAUUUGUGGAUGCUACCCUGGCCCUCGAUUCCUGAGUGCAUGGCCUGGUGAAAGAGGGGACAGAGGAGGCAGGAAAAGAUCAGGAACAACACCAUAAUAAAGUCAUUUUCAUCCAUCGUU